GUGUGUGUGUGUGUAUAUAUACACACAGUAUAGAUACUGUAUAUAAUAUUUGUAUAGUUAAUGUGUAUUUGCUUUGUCUCACUUCUCACAGUUCAUGCAAUUGAUCUAAAAUUGUCAUCACCUGAACGUCAAGAAAGACGUUUUGCAUCACUCCCUGUUGCAGACGAAAUUGCUUUGGAUUGUUUCUAUGAGAAUGACGAGGGAUCAUGACUUUACUGGUUUAAGCAAACGUUGGGACAACAACCAAAGCUGAUCUCCACCUUCUACCAGUUUAACAAUCCACAUUUCACACUGGAUACGGAAAAAGGUCAAUUACUUGACAAUUUUUGAUUUGAACAUUUCAGACUCAGAUUCUGUUUGGAAACGGGACCAAGCUGGACUUUAAGGAUGAGGACUUUUCUUUUUUCCGUCGUCUAUCUCUUAAGUUCUUUGAUAUUCAUCCCAAUGCUAGUUGUUUUACUGGCUCUUUCAGCGUGCAAGAUCGACAAGGCUGACAGCUGCCAAAGCACAGCAACAUAUACUGCUCCCUCCACGGCAAAUACAAAG
This is a non-coding RNA of Gasterosteus aculeatus aculeatus (three-spined stickleback), 546 nucleotides long. The record is from RefSeq and is a predicted model, not a curated record. NCBI's taxonomy places the organism in Eukaryota, Metazoa, Chordata, Actinopteri, Perciformes, Gasterosteidae.